This 560-nucleotide ribosomal RNA is filed under the name fungal sp. BB13. Its description in RNAcentral is "eukaryotic LSU rRNA". The stretch from base 152 to 305 matches the Rfam family "5.8S ribosomal RNA". The record is from RNAcentral. Lineage: Eukaryota; Fungi.
CUGCGGAAGGAUCAUUAAUGAAUUUUAGGACUCUCUUUUUAGAGGUCCGACCCCUUCAUUUCCAUACACUGUGCACACACUUCUUUUCACACAUUUUAACACUAUAGUAUAAGAAUGUAACAGUCUCUUUAUUGAGCAUAAAUAAAAAUAAAACUUUCAGCAACGGAUCUCUUGGCUCUCGCAUCGAUGAAGAACGCAGCGAAUUGCGAUAAGUAAUGUGAAUUGCAGAAUUCAGUGAAUCAUCGAAUCUUUGAACGCACCUUGCACUCUUUGGUAUUCCGAAGAGUAUGUCUGUUUGAGUGUCAUGAAACUCUCAACCCCCCUAUUUUGUAAUGAGAUGGGCGUGGGCUUGGAUUAUGACUGUUGUCGGCGUAAUUGCCGGCUCAGUUGAAAUACACGAGCAACCCAUUUGAAAUAAACGGUUUGACUUGGCGUAAUAAUUAUUUCGCUAAGGACGUUUUCUUCAAAAGUAAGAGGUGCUUCUAAUGCGCUAUUACAGCACUUUAAAUUUUAGACCUCAAAUCAGUCAGGACUACCCGCUGAACUUAAGCAUAUCAAUA